RNAcentral lists this unclassified non-coding RNA (1526 nucleotides) under Zea mays. RNAcentral describes it as "misc RNA Zm00001eb172670". Lineage: Eukaryota; Viridiplantae; Streptophyta; Magnoliopsida; Poales; Poaceae. The record is from RNAcentral.
AUUUUUUUCCCAGCCGCCAACAGCCUCUCUCUCCCUCCCCACGCCAUCUUCCUCCCUGGAUUCCCCACGCUAGCAACAGGGAGCACGUCUCCUUCCCUCCAUGGCCGGACCGCCCUCCCCCUGCUGCCGGCAGACAGCAGCUUGGCAUCUUCAACCUCGGCCGCGAGCUCCCUCCUCGGCUGCUUCCAGCCCAACUCGGCGCCCUUGCUGCAGGCGAGCAGCAGCUCUCUGGAUUCAUGGCGCCGGUGAAGCUCGAGCAGCCAAGCUCCCAGCUAUGGCGCUUGCUCCCUGCAGGGAUGCAGUUCCCUUGGCCGACGCCCAGCAGAGCAGCCAUGGCCGAGCUCCCUGGGAGCACGCCGGUGCCCCUGCUGUCCCCAUGGUCGAAGCCUCUGCUCGGCCAGCAGACAUGGCCGCCAGCCCCCGGCGAGCUCGAGUUCUUCUCCCUGGCCGCCCUGCUCCCUGUCCACGGCGCCUGGGAAUUCCAACAGCAGCUCCCCCUUCUCCCUGCGCCCUCUCUCCAUGGCGAGCAGCCCCCCUGCAGCGAGCUCUUUCCCCUAACCUGCUCGCGGCUAGCACCAUGGAGCCGAGCUCCUUCUCUGCAGCAGCCGCUGCACCUUUCCCCUUUUUGCCACUAUGGUGCGCAGCCCCGUCUCUUCCACUCAACGCAGCAGAUCGGACAGCUCCUCUGCUCCUCCAUUCAUCGCCAUCAAAUAUUUUUGGGGCUCGAUUCGGCGCGCUGUCCAUCUGCGUUGCCUCGCUGCGCACCCGCGCGCUGUGUCGUGCCAUCCCGCUUUUGCAGCCAUCGUUGGUGCACGCGCAGCGCCGCACCUCACUGUUGCAUGUCCCGCUGCGCGCGUGCCAGGUGUUCGGCGAAAUGUCUGGGUGGGGUGCUGCGCAGCGAACCGCACGCCGUGGUGCCCACCGGGUGCUUGCUGUUUUUGCGCAGCCCCGUCGUCGUCGUCGUUCACCCCGGUGAGACCACGACAAUCCUUAUUCGAUUCCGCAUCGGCGUUAUUUUCAUACGAUUAAUUGUGUAUGUGUGCUGUUUUAUUUUUGUUUUGUGGAGGAGAGGCACCCCAUGUUUUGCGUGGAGAAGGCAAGUCGUUCAACGCUCGUAGAUGUGCGGAGCUAUGCACAAAUCGGAAUCACCAUCGUCCUCACAAACACCGUUUGGGUUUGUUUAUGGAACGAGAGGUGACGAUCGUGCAAGUGAUGUGGUACCAACCACAAGAUGCAGUCGGUGGACGACCCAAGGAAGGAUGGACUUAACCAGUGGAUGCUCGCCAAGCGAGUACCUCCCCAGCAAACACUACCUAAGUGUUAAAAAGGUACUCCUUAGGAUGAUUUGUUGAUGGUGUGACUUGGCAUUCAUCCCAGCCACCGGGGUAGACGGCCGAGUGGGUUAUUGCUUCCGCAGGAGAGGACCAGGAGGAGUAGCGUGGCCAGGCUUCGCCAUGUUACUCGGUUUUCUUCGUUAGUUAUUUCCGCUGCAUUAAAAUUUAUGGUUAUUAUUUCUGAAACUCCGA